This 460-nucleotide ribosomal RNA is filed under the name uncultured bacterium. RNAcentral describes it as "partial 16S ribosomal RNA". It matches the Rfam family "Bacterial small subunit ribosomal RNA", at positions 338 to 795 of the family's 1533-position model. The record is from RNAcentral.
CCUACGGGUGGCAGCAGUGAGGAAUAUUGGUCAAUGGACGAGAGUCUGAACCAGCCAAGUAGCGUGAAGGAUGACUGCCCUAUGGGUUGUAAACUUCUUUUAUAUGGGAAUAAAAUGGUCCACGUGUGGGACUUUGUAUGUACCAUACGAAUAAGGUGCGGCGAACCCCGUGCCAGCAGCCGCGGUAAUACGGAGGAUCCGAGCGUUAUCCGGAUUCAUUGGGUUUAAAGGGAGCGUAGGUGGAUUGUUAAGUCAGUUGUGAAAGUUUGCGGCUCAACCGUAAAAUUGCAGUUGAAACUGGCAGUCUUGAGUACAGUAGAGGUGGGCGGAAUUCGUGGUGUAGCGGUGAAAUGCUUAGAUAUCACGAAGAACUCCGAUUGCGAAGGCAGUUUCCUGGACUGCAACUGACACUGAGGCUCGAAAGUGUGGGUAUCGAACAGGAUUAGAUACCCCUGUAGUC